Molecule: ribosomal RNA, 440 nt
Filed under: uncultured bacterium
Lineage: Bacteria
Description: partial 16S ribosomal RNA
Rfam family: Bacterial small subunit ribosomal RNA
Source: RNAcentral
ACUACGGGAGGCAGCAGUGGGGGAUAUUGCACAAUGGGGGGAACCCUGAUGCAGCGACGCCGCGUGGGUGAAGAAGCGCCUCGGCGCGUAAAGCCCUGUCAGCAGGGAAGAAAAUGACGGUACCUGAAGAAGAAGCCACGGCUAACUACGUGCCAGCAGCCGCGGUAAUACGUAGGGGGCAAGCGUUAUCCGGAUUUACUGGGUGUAAAGGGGGCGCAGACGGCGAUGCAAGCCAGGAGUGAAAGCCCGGGGCCCAACCCCGGGACUGCUCUUGGAACUGCAUGGCUGGAGUGCAGGAGGGGCAGGCGGAAUUCCUGGUGUAGCGGUGAAAUGCGUAGAUAUCAGGAGGAACACCGGUGGCGAAGGCGGCCUGCUGUACUGCAACUGACGUUGAGGCCCGAAAGCGUGGGGAGCAAACAGGAUUAGAUACCCUUGUAGUC